GAAGUCCAGCUAUUUCCUCUGCGCUUAAUAUUGUUAGCAGCUUUCUGCUGCGUUGGGUCUGGCAAAGGUGAGUCCAUGAACUUGGCUGUUUAUUAUAUCUUCCAAUAUUUUUCCUUUUCCCGGAGUUCUAUUCAUUUCCUAUACUUGUUUAUUUAUUUCUCGAUAUAGAGGUUGUUUCUUGGACACUGUCUGCAAAUUUUCCUUGUGGGUUUUGUCUGAAGUGGAAAAUAAAAUUACCUAUAGUUGUUGAAGCUCAUUUUCUGCAUAGAACCUGAAAAACCUGCCGCCAUUAAACCCUUAGAAUAGAUGACAUAUUUUUAUAUAAAAAAUUACCCUUUGAUUUGAGAAUCAUUGGAAAUAAUUCAUAAGUUUCUCGUAUGGUGAUAUACUGAAUAACUGAAAAUUUGAGCAUUUUCUUAUUCUGCAGCGAAGGCCAUGCGUUAUGCCACUUUCAGUUUUGGAUGUUCAUCAAAUGAGAAGUGCUAUAGGAAAACUAAGAAGAUAGCAGUUUUUCCUUCUCAAAUUCCUAGGUAUAUAAGAUGGUACAACAGCAGUGGUGCUGGACUUCCUUUAAGAUUUCCCUCACAUAACGCUCAUCCAAUUCUUCAAUCCUGUGGUCUUCAGCAUUGGUUCAAGAAUUGGCAAGAAUUGAGAAAGAAUAAACUUACAGCUAGCACUUUUAGUCAAGCUGUUGGUUUUUUUCCUAAGCGCAGACCCCAACUCUGGUUGGAGAAAAUCGGGGCAAUUGAACCCUUCUCGGGUAAUUUAGCUACCUGUUGGAGUAACAUCAGUCAAGCUGUUGGUUUUUUUCCUAUGCGCCCCCAACUCUGGUUGGAGAAAAUUGGGGCAAUUGAACCCUUCUCGGGUAAUUUAGCUACCUGUUGGAGUAACAUCAAAGAAGAGGAGGCUCUUGAGAGAUAUAAGCUAAUAACUGGAAAUCCUGUCUCUUUUACUGAUUUUCAGGUAUAAAAUCAAAGAAGAGGAGGCUCUUGAGAGACCUAUUUUUAUAUAAAAAAUUACCCUUUGAUUUGAGAAUCAGUGGAAAUAAUUCAUAAGU
Molecule: long non-coding RNA, 1057 nt
Filed under: Nicotiana benthamiana
Lineage: Eukaryota; Viridiplantae; Streptophyta; Magnoliopsida; Solanales; Solanaceae
Description: long non-coding RNA (NBEN_LNC020474)
Source: RNAcentral